GCGGGCAAAGCCUUCGUCCUCCUCCGACCUCCCAUCGCCCCGUUCGUAGGCAAAGCCUCUCCCUUCGAAGUCUGGCUCUCGCGAGAGUCCCCGCGCGGAUCUGUUCCGGAAGAGUGCCCCUACAUGGUUUCAUCUCCCUGGGUGCACGUGUCUACUUGAAUCCGUGCCUCUUGGUUAUUUCGGCGCCUAUGCCUAUCGGAGAUCGAUUAUUGCGCUUCUUCUCCUCCCUCCUUCAUUUGGGAAGAUUCGAGAUAGGUUCCAAAGGGUUCUUGCUGUGGAAGGGUCUAUGGGUGCUGCGCUAGGGGUCUUGACACCGGGUAGAGUGUGACCUUUUGGUGGAGCCUCUCAAGGAACAAGGGUUCAUUUUGGCCACGCUUCUGGGUCCGUCUGCGUUCUUUUUCGACGGCGGAGAUGGCCAUCACUACAUUGUGGCCAUGGAAGUGUAUUGCGUCCCUUAUGUCGGCAAAUUGACAAUACAAAGCAACAGCAACCGAGAGAUCUGUUGUUCAUUCUUGGAUCACAUGCAAACUUAGUGAAGAAGAUGGUAUGUAGACAUUGUAUUUUAGCAAUUUUCGUCGAGUUGUUAAUCUGAAGCCUUACACACUGUUAGAUUAGUAUUGCUCUUCUUGUUGUUGUCAACAAACAGUAAUAUCUGAGGGAGAUCAUCUCGUACAUACGAUGGAUCUUUUCGAGACAGAUCUCAACUAAACAGGCUUACUACUAUAUUCUUCCUCUGUUUUCUUUCCUCCUCUGUUUGCUCUUUCAUGUCUCAUCUCUACUGCUGUACUCUCCCUUUUACUGUUGGAUCCAUCAAUAUGCUGUUUUCGGUGUGAUAUUGGAUAAACCCAUUGUAGAAUAGGUUUGGCUUUAAAACCUUUGUUGUAUCCUUAUAUGAGACGAGGACACAUCAUUUAUUAAACUUACUGUUCUCUUAGUAUUCUCAAAGGGUCUGUUCUCAAGCUCAAGUUCAUCAAUUAAUUGAAAUAAUUUGGUUUAUGAUUGUGAUGUUGGAUGCCUUGACACGUUAACCUGAUUAUUAUUAUUAUUAUUAUUAUUGAGAUCCAAUCUACAUGUGUCGUAAAGAAGCACAGGUGUUCAAUUUGACUCCAAUUAUUGAAGUUAGGUCAAACAAUAUACUGCUUAUUCGCUUGUGGAACUCUAGUUUCCUACUGUUAUCAUAGUUUGUGAAAGAUAAUUUUGUUACGUAAAACUCAUCUCCUAUAUGGAAUAGACAUGUUUGCAAUAUAGAAUCUGCUGUUUCAAUUAUUGGAGGAAGAACUCUCACAGGAGCUGCCCCUAUAAAGCUUUUGGCACACCAGAUGUCAUAAACUACAUGCAGAUGCUUGAAGCUAACGAAAGAAAGGUUGGUAAAGUUCGAUUUAUACCAACAGACAGUGUGACGACUCCUUCAUUCAAGCCAUGGAUGAGAAGGUAGAUAGCAUUGAUCAAAGUAAAUGUUAACCACACUACAUUUCCAAUGCUUAUUCUUCUCAAGGCAGACAGAGAAAGAGAAGAGAGAAAAAGAAGUGCCUACAGGAGAGAGAGAGAGAGAGAGAGAGAGAGAGAGAGAGAGAGAGAGAGAGAGAGAGAACAGGAAAAUUUGUGGUUGGCUGGACAAGCAAGUAUGACCACUUUUACAGGUGAAGAGAAGUGUCGACUUCUGUUUCAUUGGACAUCUUCAUGCUAACAUCACUGGACCACAAGCAUAAUGAGAGAGAGGUCUUAAACGACUGGAUUUCGGUGCAGUUGACAUGGUACUCGGCCUGAAGGGAUGAAGAAUCACACAGAGGUCUGGAAGGAUGUGCCAGGUCACGGCAGAAGAACCACUUGGAUUGUUCAGCUUCAGCAAUCAUUCGCAGUAUCCGCUUCUCCUCCCUCAUCUCUUUGAUUCGCUGCAGCUGCCUGAACCUCUCUUGCAGCAAUGCGAUGGAUGAGCAGCGGACUGUAGUAUCAUUACUUUGCCUUCCCAUGGAUCGACCGAAAUUGAUUCCACAAUCGGGAAUGGGUGGGUUGUGUUGCAGUGGGAGUGAUUUGGUUUUUUGGGGGGGAUUUCACAGGGUGUCUGGGAGAGAGUCAUGAAUUUAUAGGGAGCACGAGUUGUCUUCUUCCUUUCAUCCAUUGCAUGUCUCCUUAGCACUUGGUUGAUUCGGGACGAAUGUAAAAGCGAGAGGAGAAUCAGCAUUGGAGGUGCAAAGUCCAAGAAGGCAAGGCUUUUGUGGCUUUCUAAGGAGUUGGGUUUGGUUAAUUUGGAUCCAUGCAAAAAGACCUCUGAAUGGGGAACAGGAUCGGGAGAUAAGUCCAAAGGUUGGUGGAUUUAGCAUUUGGAGGGGCUUCUCCAAGGGAAUAACAGGUAAUUCUUACCUAUCACUUUGCCAUGCAGGAGAUGGUACUUUUUUUGUUAGUGCUUGUAAGCGUGCUCUUGCAGGUACCCAAAGGUGGAUAACUACUUCCAGACAUGGUUAUUCAUGUCUUCCAGCUUCCAUGCAUUAAAAUUUGAAUGUUCUGGACGGGGCUAAGUGAUCGUGAGAUGUGUUGCAGGUUGUGUUCAUAUCCUUGAUGUGUGAAUAUUUCCAGGCUUGCGUGAGGGGGCAUUUGGUGGAGGAAACACUGGUGUUGGAAGGGGAAUAUAUCUUGGGUCUGAUGAUGUCGUGUGGAGAAGAGUGUAUUAGGCUGUUCCUUUUCCAAAUCUACGCACAUCUUUUCUCCCACUUUAUUUUGUCCGGUGUGAUUGGAUGGAAAUGGCAUGCAGCCUCUGCAGAGCUUCCUGGUGGACUGUGAAAACUAACAGGGCACCUGCUUUUCUAUCUUAUCCUGCCUCCAUUCCAUUCCUUAUUGCCAAUCUCAAGAAACCUUUGUGUUUAUUUUCUUUUCAAUCUCUUCGAUGGGAGGCUUGGAAUCCAUCCACACUCUGAUCAUAGGCUUAGUUGGUGGAUGUUGAUCUCUUUUUCUUCUGAACCAGUUUCCUUUUGGCUUCGGUCGAGUGCAAAAUGUGGUGCCUACAAUGACAUUUCAAUGCUUCUCUCAUUCAUCUCAUCUUAUGAUCGGAUCUGUUUUGGGGUGUUAUUAAAGGCCAACCUUUGGAUGAAGAUUUAUGAAUCCUUUAGGUUUUGAUUUCUGAAUUGCUGCAGGAAAAAGUGAGUGAAAAUUUAACAGGAUUGGACAUCUGGCUAUGGUCAUAUUCUUGGAUUAUCUCUAGUGCAAUCAAUCCAAAUCAAAUUUAGCUUCUUGAUAAGGCAGAGUCCCCCCUAGAGGUAUGCUUCACCAGAUUUCUGUCCGACCAACUUGAAGAAGAAGAAGAAGAAGAAGAGUUUGAUACUUGCUUUGACACCUGAGCAUGAUGGUUGUGCAUGCAGGUGCACUUCUUCCUCCAUGUAAUUUGCAUGUAGGAUCUGAUGCAUCAAGUUGUGCCCGUGCACUACUUCCUCAGGUGCUUUUCUUUUGUCUCUGAUUUAUGGAUCGGCUCGGCCUACCACCAACACAUCUCCUCACCAGGUUGUAGUUUUGGGUGCAGCUCAAAGGUAAUCCAGUUCUGUUUGGUUGUAUCACUUUGGAUUCAUUCACAUGCAUCUUUGUUGAAAGGUGGAUUCCAGAUCAAGACUUAGCUCUUCUUAUCUGUGUUUAAAUCAGGUCUUAAUCUUUUUCCAUCUUUAAAUAUGCAGUACAUUAUCCAUGCGUAUCAGAUGCUAACUAUGGGGAUUGAAGCUCUAAUCUUUUGGCUCUAAUUUGCUUGCAUUAAUCUUCUUCAACAGAUUCUUAGUUUGUUCUGUUCCCGUGUUAUCGUUGUUAUGUUCUUGCAGCAUAUAUAGAUGUGAAUGCCUUCGACACUUGCACUAAGUCGACCAUUAACUAAUAAUAUCAAUAUUACAGUACAACACAACACAUGAUGGCUCGAUUGCAGCCUCCCUUCACGUACCGUUACACCACCAUUUUAGAGGAAGACGACCGACAACGACGACGUCAAUGCACGCAGGAAGGCAGCGGGAGAUGAUCACUUGCCGGGGACGAAGUUGGUGGCGUAGGCCCAGGCGUUGUUGGCGACGGGGUCGGCGAGGUGGUCGUAGAGGUUCUCGAUGGGGCCCUUGCCGGUCACGAUGGCCUGCACGAAGAAGCCGAACAUGGAGAACAUGGCAAGGCGGCCGUUCUUGA
Long non-coding RNA from Musa acuminata AAA Group (dessert banana), 4146 nucleotides. RefSeq lists it as uncharacterized. The transcript is spliced from 2 exons. NCBI's taxonomy places the organism in Eukaryota, Viridiplantae, Streptophyta, Magnoliopsida, Zingiberales, Musaceae. The record is from RefSeq and is a predicted model, not a curated record.